UUUAUGGAGAGUUUGAUCCUGGCUCAGGAUGAACGCUGGCGGCGUGCCUAAUACAUGCAAGUCGAGCGAACGGACGAGAAGCUUGCUUCUCUGAUGUUAGCGGCGGACGGGUGAGCAACACGUGGAUAACCUACCUAUAAGACUGGGAUAACUUCGGGAAACCGGAGCUAAUACCGGAU
Molecule: ribosomal RNA, 179 nt
Filed under: Staphylococcus aureus
Lineage: Bacteria; Bacillati; Bacillota; Bacilli; Caryophanales; Staphylococcaceae
Description: partial 16S ribosomal RNA
Rfam family: Bacterial small subunit ribosomal RNA
Source: RNAcentral